This 253-nucleotide ribosomal RNA is filed under the name uncultured bacterium. Its description in RNAcentral is "partial 16S ribosomal RNA". It matches the Rfam family "Bacterial small subunit ribosomal RNA", at positions 524 to 776 of the family's 1533-position model. The record is from RNAcentral.
UACGUAGGGUGCAAGCGUUGUCCGGAAUUAUUGGGCGUAAAGAGCUCGUAGGCGGUUUGUCGCGUCUGCUGUGAAAUUUCGGGGCUCAACCCCGAACUUGCAGUGGGUACGGGCAGACUAGAGUGUGGUAGGGGAGACUGGAAUUCCUGGUGUAGCGGUGAAAUGCGCAGAUAUCAGGAGGAACACCGAUGGCGAAGGCAGGUCUCUGGGCCACUACUGACGCUGAGAAGCGAAAGCAUGGGGAGCGAACAGG